Molecule: ribosomal RNA, 513 nt
Filed under: uncultured Acaulospora
Lineage: Eukaryota; Fungi; Glomeromycota; Glomeromycetes; Diversisporales; Acaulosporaceae
Description: SSU rRNA
Rfam family: Eukaryotic small subunit ribosomal RNA
Source: RNAcentral
AGCAGCCGCGGUAAUUCCAGCUCCAAUAGCGUAUAUUAAAGUUGUUGCAGUUAAAAAGCUCGUAGUUGAAUUUCGGGAUUUGUCAGUUGGUCGGGCUUCACUGUCCGUAUUGACUUGAUGGAUUCUUACCUUCUGAAUAACCAGCAUGCUAUUAAGUUAGUGCGUUGGGGAAGCAGAUCUAUUACCUUGAAAAAAUUAGAGUGCUUAAAGCGAGCUAGUGCUUGAAUAGAUUAGCAUGGAAUAAUAAAAUAGGACGGCAUGGUUCUAUUUUGUUGGUUUCUAGGAUCACCGUAAUGAUUAAUAGGGAUAGUUGGGGGCAUUAGUAUUCAAUUGUCAGAGGUGAAAUUCUUGGAUUUAUUGAAGACUAACUUCUGCGAAAGCAUUUGCCAAGGAUGUUUUCAUUAAUCAAGAACGAAAGUUAGGGGAUCGAAGACGAUCAGAUACCGUCGUAGUCUUAACCACAAACUAUGCCGACUAGGAAUCGGACGAUGUUAAUUUUAUAAUGACUCGUUC